UUCCUCAACCUUCUGGACAGACAACAAUCUCCAGAACAUACAUAGAAGAAUCAAAGCAUUCACACAAACUCCCACAAGCAUUGCAGGGAGAAUUCCAAUCACAAAUGUCCCGAAAGAUAUCUUACUCUGUACAGCUAUAACAAGGUUUUGAGGAUUGCCAAUCGGGGUUGCGGCAGACCCAAUGUUUGCACUCGAGGCAAGGGCAAGUAGGAAAGGAUGAGGCAGGAGGUUAUGUUGUCUUGCAACUUUCAGAACAAACUCGGUCAAAACCACACAAGAGGUGUCAUUGGUGAAGAGGGCGCUCGAAACUGCAGAUAGAGUUUUCCACAUGAGCAACUUGCCCAAAUACUUGAACAUAUCUGCUCUUUCGAGAUACAUACUCACAACCAUUGUCCAAAAACAGAAGACCGAUGAUUGGGAGAUCAAUAGCUGCAUAUGCUUGAUCAGGAGUUAAGACUCGGAAAACAACCAUAAGCUUUGCCCCAAGGAGGGACCCUGUAGUCCUCCCAAUUGGCAAGAAAGGGACAGCCGGAAACACAGCCAACACCCAGAAGACUGCAAAAGCAAUCGAGCCAAGAACCACUUUGACAGGAGAAGCCACUGCCAUUUUUCCAACUUAAGAGUAGGUGAGCUCCCUCCUAUGCACUCAAAUUGGAACCCCGUAAUUUAUAUUAGUUUAAAGUUGAAUAUCGCUUGUAUCAUAAGAAGCUGAAGAUCUUACUCAUGAUAGCUAACCAUAGCAUCAAUACGGACCAAAAACGAAAAGACCUGAACACAAAAACCAAUCCCAGUUGCACAACUAGUUUUACCAAAGAUUCAGCUUAGAGACUGAACUAGACCUGAACCAAGCAACUUGAGUGUAAACAGUAAAACAAACAAAUUAUAUAUAAGGAUCAGUGUACUGCAGUAUUGCAACUUCGCGUGGACUGUAAGGCUGCAUUCGUUAGAAAUGGAGGACAACUUCCAAAUUUUGUCUGAAUUGAAGUUAAAAGAUUGAGCAGUCAUGAACGAAGUUAUCCCUUCUAAUCCUACUAUUGUUGUGGGAUUAGACGGGAAAACUUUCCUUCAUGAAUAAUUCAUCUUCUAUAUCCGUUUCUUCCCGAGUUAUCCUAUCCAAAGUCAAUCCUCUUAACAAUCUCAUUCUAAAUCUCAAUCAUUUACAAGAACCUAGCCAAGAUUGAAACAUUCAAUCUCUUUAAUAGCAAUAACUCAAUAGAAAUUUACAAAGAUUCAUCAGGAAAAAAAAAAAGUUAAUGGAGAUUUGUUUGCUAAUUUCAGCAAAAACCCUUGUCCAAAAAACCACUGUAUUUGCUAUAAAUAGAAAGAAACAGAAAGGAAGCUCAGGCUGGACGGAAAAAAGUGCUUAACUUUUAAGCAAAAGCUAAACUAACUAGCAAUACCAGGACCAAAAGAAACAAAGAUCUUACCUCGAAAAAAGGUUCAAGGAAGUAGGGAUUGAAUUGAACUGCUUUUCCAUGAUCUGCUGCCAGAAUCAGAACAUAUAACCACAUGAAACAUAAAGAGAAGUUGGCUUCAACUUUUUUCUGUUUCGGGUAAUUAAUAAAUAAGUAAAAAGGGAAUCGAUCGAUUUGCAGUGAGUGGAGCUUCUUCUCAGUUCACAAAUCGACACAAUGAAAUUUAAAAUAAAAAGCUAGAAACUUUGACUGUUAUCAUCUUUGUCCUUAAUAUAUGUUUGAUGCUCUUUAAGGUCGCACCAAUCAAUAUCCCACGUUAAUGAAACCAUCUGAGUCCAUUGAGAAAUUUUUCAUUGUGCCGAAACAAAUCCCAUACAAAUAAAAGGAGACUCCAAGCUAAUAAGGUCCCGCGCUUUGUGAAGGUUGGGGGGAGAAUAAACAUCUAUCAUACGCAUCUUUGUCUUUGCUUUGUAAAGAGGUUAUUUUCACGACUCGAACCCGUGACAUUUUGGUUACAAAGGCGCAAUCUUUCAGGCUUGCCCAUACAAAGGUAGAAAUAAAACUAUACAAAGAUGCUUUCUUUGUUGUCCAAAAGUUUCAUCUAAUUAGUGUUAAACCAAUAGCAGUGACUAUAAGAGUGGAGGGGACUCCAAAUUUCAGAUGGCUCCAGAAGGACAAUGUGUAGGCAAGUUGAGGAGAUUGGCGAGCCUGCUCGCACACUAUCAAGUUGGCUGCUGAUCCCAAAAGCGACAGGUUUCCGGCCACAGUGCUCACCCAACCUAAUAGGAGCCACGCCUUCUUCUCCUCCGCAGCAGAGAUUAGGGCCGCUGACGCUGCCACCCGCCCUCCAAGCAACAAAACUAUCCAACACAAAAGAAAAAAAAACAUGCAUGUUAAGUGGCUGCUGGAAGUAUGAUAAUAUUUUGGUUCUUAUAGAGUGCAAACGGAAAAUAAUAUCAGCAUACAUACCAGUUGGUACAUUUGAAGCCAAAUUUGACAGCACAAGUAUGGUGACUGCAAGAACUGCUAUCCCGCUAGCAUGAUCAAUUUGCGCAUGCGGCUCCAUGAAGUCCCAAAGAUUGCUUGGAAUGCCGGUAUUGUUGAAUCCAUUGACGGUUAUAAACAUUCCGCAGAAGAAAAUCAAGAGUGAAUAUGAAACCUGUCAAAGAAAGAAGGAAACUUGUUACAUUUGUAAUCUAAUCUAACGUUCGGAGUGAACUUCGUGCUUGUGAAACUUACCUUUUCUAGGCUUGGACGGGCAUCCGUGAAGUCAAACAACCAGAGCAAGUGCAGCAGUAAUCGCACACCACGACAUAUUGAGGCCCAUAAGCAGUGCAAUCAGCAUUCCUAUAGUAAUAAGGUAAACACCAGAUUUCCACAAUAUCCUUUUCCAUCUUUUGGUCAGAUGUUCCUUCCCUUCCAACGACUCCAUAGGAAAUGCAUCUGUUUGUCUAUCAUUCAAUGGAGACCUUUUUGAUGGGAUUGUUCUGUCCCUUUUAGGAGAAGACAAAUCAUUCGUGUCCUCUUUUGAUGCACUUGAAAUUCUUGCAGACUCUAUCGCACCACUAGGAACCUUGUUCGCUUCAUUCUCGCUAGAAGGUAAGCGGUUUCUAAGAGUCUCGACAUUACCUAUGCUCACAUUAACAUUCAGAGAACUUUGCACAGUUGGGGUUUCCAAUCUAGAGUUCAUUUCUUGAGAGUUUAAGGAUGUACUAUGUGACAAUGUAGCUGGUGAAAACCGAUGAGAACUUACAUCCUCCUCUGGAACAGGUUCCAGAGCUGGAUCUUCCUCAUCCUUCUGGACAGACAACAAUCUCCAGAACACACAUAGAAGAAUCACAGCAUUCACACAAACUCCCACAAGCAUUGCAGGGAGAAUUCCAAUCACAAAUGUCCCGAAAGAUAUCUUACUCUGUACAGCUAUAACAAGGUUUUGAGGAUUGCCAAUCGGGGUUGCUGCAGACCCAAUGUUUGCACUCGAGGCAAGGGCGAGUAGGAAAGGAUGAGGCGGGAGGUUAUGUUGUCUUGCAACUUUCAAAACAAACUCAGUCAAAACCACACAAGAG
Molecule: long non-coding RNA, 3481 nt
Filed under: Malus domestica (apple)
Lineage: Eukaryota; Viridiplantae; Streptophyta; Magnoliopsida; Rosales; Rosaceae
Description: long non-coding RNA (MDOM_LNC007163)
Source: RNAcentral